GACAGAGGGGGCAAGCGUUGCUCGGAAUCACUGGGCGUAAAGGGCUCGUAGGCGGUCUGUCGCGUCGGUCGUGAAAACUUGGGGCUUAACCCUGAGCUUGCGGUCGAUACGGGCAUGACUGGAGUUCGGCAGGGGAGACUGGAAUUCCUGGUGUAGCGGUGAAAUGCGCAGAUAUCAGGAGGAACACCGGUGGCGAAGGCGGGUCUCUGGGCCGAUACUGACGCUGAGGAGCGAAAGCGUGGGGAGCGAACAGG
Molecule: ribosomal RNA, 254 nt
Filed under: uncultured bacterium
Lineage: Bacteria
Description: partial 16S ribosomal RNA
Rfam family: Bacterial small subunit ribosomal RNA
Source: RNAcentral